RNAcentral lists this transfer RNA (86 nucleotides) under Francisella adeliensis. RNAcentral describes it as "tRNA-Leu". It matches the Rfam family "tRNA". Rfam says of the family: Transfer RNA (tRNA) molecules are approximately 80 nucleotides in length. The record is from RNAcentral. RNAcentral also lists the same sequence under 1 other name. Lineage: Bacteria; Pseudomonadati; Pseudomonadota; Gammaproteobacteria; Thiotrichales; Francisellaceae.
GCACUGGUGGUGGAAUUGGUAGACACGCCAUCUUGAGGGGGUGGUGUCCGAAGGAUGUGUGGGUUCGAGUCCCACUCAGUGCACCA